GGGCAGGUGGCCGAGCGGUUUAAGGCGCACGCCUGGAACGCGUGUAAGGUUCAUAGCCUUCGAGGGUUCGAAUCCCUCCCUGUCCG
RNAcentral lists this transfer RNA (86 nucleotides) under Anaerolineales bacterium. RNAcentral describes it as "tRNA-Ser". It matches the Rfam family "tRNA". Rfam says of the family: Transfer RNA (tRNA) molecules are approximately 80 nucleotides in length. Their secondary structure includes four short double-helical elements and three loops (D, anti-codon, and T loops). The record is from RNAcentral. Lineage: Bacteria; Bacillati; Chloroflexota; Anaerolineae; Anaerolineales.